UACGUAGGGGGCAAGCGUUGUCCGGAAUUAUUGGGCGUAAAGAGCUCGUAGGCGGCCUGUUGCGUCCGCUGUGAAAUCCCGGGGCUCAACCCCGGGCCUGCAGUGGAUACGGGCUGGCUAGAGGCAGGCAGGGGAGAACGGAAUUCCUGGUGUAGCGGUGAAAUGCGCAGAUAUCAGGAGGAACACCGGUGGCGAAGGCGGUUCUCUGGGCCUGUACUGACGCUGAGGAGCGAAAGCGUGGGGAGCGAACAGG
This 253-nucleotide ribosomal RNA is filed under the name uncultured bacterium. RNAcentral's name for it is "partial 16S ribosomal RNA". It matches the Rfam family "Bacterial small subunit ribosomal RNA", at positions 524 to 776 of the family's 1533-position model. The record is from RNAcentral.